RNAcentral lists this ribosomal RNA (255 nucleotides) under Staphylococcus pseudintermedius. RNAcentral's name for it is "partial 23S ribosomal RNA". It matches the Rfam family "Bacterial large subunit ribosomal RNA", at positions 1085 to 1345 of the family's 2925-position model. RNAcentral also lists the same sequence under 1 other name. Lineage: Bacteria; Bacillati; Bacillota; Bacilli; Caryophanales; Staphylococcaceae. The record is from RNAcentral.
CCAGACAACUAGGAUGUUGGCUUAGAAGCAGCCAUCAUUUAAAGAGUGCGUAAUAGCUCACUAGUCGAGUGACACUGCGCCGAAAAUGUACCGGGGCUAAACAUAUUACCGAAGCUGUGGAUUGUCCUUUGGACAAUGGUAGGAGAGCGUUCUAAGGGCGUUGAAGCAUGAUCGCAAGGACAUGUGGAGCGCUUAGAAGUGAGAAUGCCGGUGUGAGUAGCGAAAGACGGGUGAGAAUCCCGUCCACCGAUUGAC